This 253-nucleotide ribosomal RNA is filed under the name uncultured bacterium. RNAcentral describes it as "partial 16S ribosomal RNA". It matches the Rfam family "Bacterial small subunit ribosomal RNA", at positions 524 to 776 of the family's 1533-position model. The record is from RNAcentral.
UACGAAGGAUCCAAGCGUUAUCCGGAUUUAUUGGGUUUAAAGGGUGCGUAGGCGGCCUUCUAAGUCAGACGUGAAAUCCCCCGGCUUAACCUGGGAACUGCGUCUGAUACUGGGAGGCUUGAGUAUGGGAGAGGGAUGUAGAAUUCCAGGUGUAGCGGUGAAAUGCGUAGAUAUCUGGAGGAACACCGGUGGCGAAGGCGGCAUCCUGGACCGGCAUUGACGCUGAGGCGCGAAAGCUAGGGGAGCAAACGGG